UUUCAUGAAAUGCAACAUAUCACAAUCAGUUCACGUCAAGGAUGAACUUGUCACCAAUAGCCCACUACUGAAUCCAAUAGUGCCAGGGGCGUAGUGCAGGCCACAUCUGGUCUUUCUCUUAUACAUAACAUAACAUAACAUAUCCAAUAGUGCCGGGGGCGUAGUGCAGGCCACUUCCGGUUUUUCUCUUACAUAGUGCCAGGGGCGUAGUGCAGGCCACAUCUGGUCUUUCCACAUCAUAUCAUAACGUAGUACGGCUAGAGGAUCAUUCAACAUUCAUCCACAUCAACAACAUAUUAUGCAAUGCAACAUAUUCGUGAUUUCUAAUGCAAACAACCUAAAAUAUCACAUGGCAUCCGUGAUGCAUGAUUCAUGCUAAGAUUUUCAUUUAUUUAAAACAUAAAAGUUUAUUCUACUCACCUCAGCUAGCUCUGACAAAGACUGAAGCAGCUGACUCACUGCUGGGGUCCUCGGUUCCUCGGGUCCGAACCUACACAGGUGGACUCAAGUGAGGGACCAAACAUACUAGAACAUGACUCUAAAACAUCCCCCAAAAACCCCCUUAAAACACCACAAAACAUCCAUGAAAAGCAUACAAAGGAAGGCUGAACAGGGCACUUUCGGCGGCAGGUUCGGCGGCCGAAAGUCCCUCCAGAGCCGAAAGUCAGGCAGGUUCGGCGGCACCUUCGGCGGCUGAAACUCCCAGACAGAGACAAAACUCAUGCAUGUUCGGCGGCACUUUCGGCGGCCGAAACUGCCCUCCAGAGACGAAAGUCCUCUUUCGGGGGCAGGCUUCGGCAGCCGAAGGCUGCUUCCACAAGAGGGUUCGGCGGCCGAAAGUUCCUUCGGC
Molecule: long non-coding RNA, 850 nt
Filed under: Manihot esculenta (cassava)
Lineage: Eukaryota; Viridiplantae; Streptophyta; Magnoliopsida; Malpighiales; Euphorbiaceae
Description: long non-coding RNA (MESC_LNC011529)
Source: RNAcentral